Molecule: ribosomal RNA, 468 nt
Filed under: uncultured bacterium
Lineage: Bacteria
Description: partial 16S ribosomal RNA
Rfam family: Bacterial small subunit ribosomal RNA
Source: RNAcentral
GACGAACGCUGGCGGCGUGCUUAACACAUGCAAGUCGAACGGAAAGGCCCUGCUUUUGUGGGGUGCUCGAGUGGCGAACGGGUGAGUAACACGUGAGUAACCUGCCCUUGACUUUGGGAUAACUUCAGGAAACUGGGGCUAAUACCGGAUAGGAGCUCCUGCUGCAUGGUGGGGGUUGGAAAGUUUCGGCGGUUGGGGAUGGACUCGCGGCUUAUCAGCUUGUUGGUGGGGUAGUGGCUUACCAAGGCUUUGACGGGUAGCCGGCCUGAGAGGGUGACCGGCCACAAUGGGACUGAGAUACGGCCCAGACUCCUACGGGAGGCAGCAGUGGGGAAUAUGGCGCAAUGGGCGGGAGCCUGAUGCAGCAACGCCGCGUGCGGGAUGACGGCCUUCGGGUUGUAAACCGCUGUCGCCUGUGACGAAGCGUGAGUGACGGUAAUGGGUAAAGAAGCACCGGCUAACUACGUG